CGCCCCUCAAGCGCCGAUUUGCUCCGGAUUGCGGGCGCUUUCAACAAAUACCGCUAAAGAGGGACACGCACCCGGUGUC
Molecule: non-coding RNA, 79 nt
Filed under: Burkholderiales bacterium JOSHI_001
Lineage: Bacteria; Pseudomonadati; Pseudomonadota; Betaproteobacteria; Burkholderiales
Also listed under: 1 other name
Description: Alpha-proteobacteria SAM riboswitch aptamer
Rfam family: Alpha-proteobacteria SAM riboswitch aptamer
About the family: This family is a riboswitch found predominantly in alpha-proteobacteria that binds S-adenosyl methionine (SAM).
Source: Rfam by way of RNAcentral